AUGUACCACGCAUGCGUUCCGGCUCUGAGUGCGCUGUGUACACCCACCUGCCCACUGCUCACUACGUUCUGUUGGCA
Molecule: small RNA, 77 nt
Filed under: Xanthomonas dyei pv. eucalypti
Lineage: Bacteria; Pseudomonadati; Pseudomonadota; Gammaproteobacteria; Lysobacterales; Lysobacteraceae
Also listed under: 1 other name
Description: sX9 sRNA
Rfam family: Xanthomonas sRNA sX9
Source: RNAcentral